UUUUAUUUACUUUAAUUCCUUUUCUUAGUACAAAAUACACGAAGUCAUAUGUCACACCGAUUGUGGAAACAUACAGAAACCUGGAUUCACAACAGUGAAUCCUCCAUCUACCACCAGAUUAUGGCCGCUCACAUACUGGGAGUCAUCACUAGCCAAGUAAAGAGCAGCCUGAGCCACAUCUUCUGGUUUAAGCAAAGCCUCCUUGAGAUUAGAAUAAAGCCGAUACACACCAUCAUCAUCCAGCUUGAAGAAAUCCUUUGCCAGUGGGGUGGCAACCACGUACGGCGAGACACAGUUCACACGAAUCCCAUAUUGACCCAAUUCCACAGCAGUAUUUUUCAUCAGACCCACCACGCCAUGCUUUGAACUAGUGUAAGCAUGAGAUGCUACCCCUCCAAUUACUGAACAAAUACUGGCAGUUGUAAUUAUACUCCCUCGGCGAUUGGGGAUCAUUACACGAGCUGCAUGCUUAGUCCCCAGGAAUGGACCUACUAAAUUAACACUAAUGAUUUUUUCAAAUUCUGAUUUUUCAUUAUCAAGGAUGUUGGGUUUGGCUGCCCCAAUUGUACCUGCAUUGUUGAACAUGAUGUCAAGCUUCCCGUACUUAGAAACAGCUGUAUUAACAGCAUUUUGGACAUCUUCUUCUGCGGUAACGUCGCAGUGGACGAAUGAGCAGUGGGCAUCAUCUGCAUCCAGUUCUCGGCAUACAGAGCGGCCUAACUCGUCUUGGACAUCUGCAAUCACUAAUUUAGCUCCUUGUUUGGAGAAGAGUCUGGCAGUGCAUUCCCCGAUGCCACUAGCUGCUCCGGUAACGAGAGCCACCUUGCCUUGCAGCCUUUUUAGAGCUGAAGAGACAAGUGAGGCAGAGGCCAUCUGAAACAACGUAUGGAAAAAGUGUUGCUGGCCAGAGACUCAAACAGAGUGCCACGAGAC
RNAcentral lists this unclassified non-coding RNA (933 nucleotides) under Hevea brasiliensis (rubber tree). The record is from RNAcentral. Lineage: Eukaryota; Viridiplantae; Streptophyta; Magnoliopsida; Malpighiales; Euphorbiaceae.